UGCGGGGGCAGCACCAGAACAGCUGUUUGCCUCGUGGGCUUUGCGGUAGGCAUUCCACAGGUCCUUUACUUUAACCCGACACUGCACCGCAUCCCAGUCAUGGCCCUUGAUAUGGAGAAUGGAUUUUAGUCUCCA
Gopherus evgoodei (Goodes thornscrub tortoise) is the source of this 135-nucleotide long non-coding RNA. RefSeq lists it as uncharacterized. The transcript is spliced from 3 exons. The record is from RefSeq and is a predicted model, not a curated record. Lineage: Eukaryota; Metazoa; Chordata; Testudines; Testudinidae.